RNAcentral lists this long non-coding RNA (1342 nucleotides) under Homo sapiens (human). Its description in RNAcentral is "HSALNT0093605". Lineage: Eukaryota; Metazoa; Chordata; Mammalia; Primates; Hominidae. The record is from RNAcentral.
CACAUCGUGAUGCUUAUUUUAUCCAGGAGUUCUAGGUAAGACCACUUUUUCAAAUAUCCUCUGAACGUUGACUUAGGUGCACACACCUGUGCUUCCAUUGGCAACAAAAGCUUUGAAUGCACAGGACUUCCACGGCAUGAAAUGCAUUUACAUACAUUACAUAAGAGAGAAGCAAUGAGCAAGUCUGUUGCUGGGAGAGGCUCACAUCCUUCUCACCAAAUCAAUCUGUAACUUUCAAAUAGCUCUGCUGUAUUUCCUAGCAACAGGAGUAAACACUGUACUACAUCCAGUGCCCAAGAUUUGUAACCACGUUAAUCUGUUAGAAGCCUAGAUGUGUGACUGGAGAUGCCUCCUGUCCAUUCAAUCUGACUCCAAUGUGGUUCUGCAGCACUGGACAAAGAUGGGAGAUUGAAACAGGAGCCCCUGCGAUGGGGGAACAGAGCCAGGGAGCAGGGGUUGGACAGAACCCAGGUUUGAGAAAACAACCUUGUGAACCUUCUAUUGGAGCAGCAAUAAAGAUCUGAGCUAAGUGUCGAGGGAGGCUGAGGAGGUGGUCACUAAGUCUGUCUUAGGCAUCCCAGGGUCUCCUCAGAGUCCAAGCCUGAAGUCCACUGCAGGGGUCACCAGCCACCUGUGGCCACAUUGGAAUGUGGCCAUUCUGAAUUGAGGAGUUAAGCCUAAAGCUGCAGAUGAAAAUUUUGCCACCAUGAAGAAAAGAAGAAAUCAGAAUUGGAUUCUUUCUGAACUUUUCCUUUACAGUAGCCAGUAUAUGCCCUUUCCUACUUGAGCAAGUAUAAACUGGGUUUCUGUGAUUUGCAACCAAGUGUCCUGACAAACACAAGGAUGAAAGACAACUGUGUCUCAAUAAAGGAAAAAUAGUUUAUUUUUAUGAGUGGUGGAUUUAAAAAACCUACAUUACUGUGACAAGAGUACCUUAAAACAUUUAAGUCUACAAAAGGCACUUAGGGACUUUAUAGCAAACUCUACACUUAUAAUGAAAAGCCAGACCAGAUCAUUUUAAAAAAACGUUACUGCACGAGAUAAUGGCACAUCCACUCGUUCAAUUAACAUUUAUUGAGUGUCUUCAGGGGUUUUAGACUUGUGCAAUAAAAAUGAUAAAAACGUAUUCUUUGGUUUGAGCUGGUCCAUCCAAGGUCGUUCCAUAAAGAGCAGCUGUGUAUGCUGUUCAGACUAAUUGUGUGAAGCUGGAGAGGCCAGGUGUUUCUGUCUGGCCCAGCAGCUGCACUUUGCGGUAAGGGCACCACCUGAAUUUCAGUCUGGCCAUAAAAUGAGGCUGAAGAAACAGCACCUUGCAUGAGCUUUUAGGUGAAAGGCAGAACAG